Long non-coding RNA from Sarcophilus harrisii (Tasmanian devil), 1797 nucleotides. Lineage: Eukaryota; Metazoa; Chordata; Mammalia; Dasyuromorphia; Dasyuridae. The record is from Ensembl.
AUAGACUAGAAACUAUAUUCUAAGAAAGUUCAGAAGUUCUUGGUAAUGAAUCAGGAAUGUAGCAGAACUGAAUCAAAGUCUGCAAGAUCCCAAUCCACUCUGAAUUACUGCUCUUUGUCUUGCCUAAGUAGUUCAUAUACUUUUGCCGCUGGAAAAUAGGGGUGUCCAUUCAACUGUUUCCCAUUUCAACUGCUAAUUACAUAAGUUCAUACUAUCUUCCCAGUAACAGAGAGUCUCAAAGAAUGCAUUCAUGUUCAUUCUUUGAGACAUAAGCACAUGGCUUAACUACAGAACAAGGUUAUUAUCACUUGCACUCAGGGGGAAAGGAAAUAGCUAUUGCAAAUUCAUGCAUGCUUAUCUGUCUGAGAAGCUCUUUGGUGAAUUUAGGCCCUAAGGAAACAGUUUACACCCAACACACAAAACAGAAUUGGAAUGAUCAAACCAAGUGGCUAUGGAUUUUGGACACCUGAGAAGUGGCAUUCUCAGCAUAUAAGAAUAUUUUUCACUUCAAAGUCACAUUUCUCCUUUUACAUUUAAAAAGGCUAGCCUACCAAUGGGGUUUUUGGAAAGAAUGAUGUUAGUUGAGUUGAUUUUCCUGAUAUAUAAGUCCUUUGGAGUCCAUUCCAAGCAGCUGGAUCAGAGGUUAUUUUUUUAAUGGUCCUGAUUACAUAAGAUGUUAGCCCAGGCUAAUGUUUCAGAACCUGAAAAAUAACCUGAACUAUUUUAAAAUGACACAGCACAACUGCCCAGCUUAGAAUUUCUUUACUUUUUUUUAACUGAUAUAUUUAAAAGUUAAAAUAGAGAUACCAGUUUUACCAAAGAUACAUAUUACUAAUUCUCAGCAAAAAAUAAAAUAAAAUAAAACAACAAAAACCCACCAUAAUUUAAGGAAGGAAAAUUGAAACAUAGUUUGUCUUAAAGAUUUAGCAGUCGUGCUUUAAGAUACAUUUUCAACUCCUGUGUUCUGAAGUUUCUAUUCCCUUGGUGCCAGUGAAUUUGUAUAUGAAGGGAAAAUGCCUGCUUUUUUUUUUUCUUUAACAGCUGUAACUAGAUUUCUUGCUAAACUUUUGAAUUUGCCCUAAGUUGUCAUUCAACGUGAGACAUUGGCUUUGCUGAUCUCUAGGGAGAAGACAUGCAAAAACUGAGAUGGAAUUGUAAUAAAGAUAUUUGGCCCUCGACUUUGUCUUAGCUGUUAAAAAAAAAACUGUUUUUAGUAUUUUUGUUAAAUAUUUGCAAAGGGAAACAUUUUCUACAGAGGAUUAAUUAAUUUCAAGAAAAAUAUCUUGAGUUUUAAGAAUAAACAUGUCUCCAGAAGAGGAGACCAUCAAUUUUAUAAGCUGUCACAACUCUCCCAACAUUUGGGGAAGUGACUCUUUUUGUUAAGACAUUUGAAACUAGCGAGCAGCCAUUGUUUCUAAAGAACUCAGCCUUCAUGUUGACUCACGUUUCUUUGACUUCAUUUUGAGAUAGCAGAAAUCAUUAAAACUGUAAAUAUUUUGUUGCUUGGAUAAGCAUCUUCUGGGAACUUUGUAUCUAUGGUAUAUAAUCAUAGAAUUUUAUAUUUUCAUAUAAAGCUGAUUUUUUUCUAGUUUCAACUCCUUCAUAGUUUUUUUGUGGUGGAUAUGUGAAUACAGCCUUUCUGUGUACUGAAAGUAGCACGGACCAUCAUCACAUUCCAAAAGAAUCCAACGCCAUGUUCUUUCUUUGGGGCAGUGAUUGUGAAAGUUGGAUUUUCUUUUUCAUUCCAUUGUCAGAGUGGGCAAUAGGAAUUAGGCCUAAUCAGUCAUUGAAUACGUC